GACGAACGCUGGCGGCGUGCUUAACACAUGCAAGUCGAACGGAAAGGCCCUGCUUUUGCGGGGUGCUCGAGUGGCGAACGGGUGAGUAACACGUGAGUAUCCUGCCCUUGACUUUGGGAUAACUUCAGGAAACUGGGGCUACUACCGGAUACGUGCUCCUGCUGCAUGGUGGGGGUUGGACAGUUUCGGCGGUUGGGGAUGGACUCGCGGCUUAUCAGCUUGUUGGUGGGGUAGUGGCAUACCAAGGCUUUGACGGGUAGCCGGCCUGGGAGGGGGGCCGGCGACAUUAGGACUGAGAUACGGCGCAGACUCCUACGGGAGGCAGCGGUGGAGAAUAUUGCACAAUGGGCGGAAGCCUGAUGCAGAAACGCCGCGUGCGGGAUGACGGCCUUCGGGUUGUAAACCGCAUUCGCCUGUGACGAAGCGGGAGUGACGGUAAUGGGUAAAGAAGCACCGGCUAACUACGUG
Molecule: ribosomal RNA, 468 nt
Filed under: uncultured bacterium
Lineage: Bacteria
Description: partial 16S ribosomal RNA
Rfam family: Bacterial small subunit ribosomal RNA
Source: RNAcentral